AACGGCCAUACCAUGCUGAAUAUACCGGUUCUCGUUAGAUUACCGAAGUCAAGCAUCAUUGGGCGCGGUUAGUACUUGGGUGGGUGACCACCUGGGAACACUGCGUGCCGUU
Molecule: ribosomal RNA, 112 nt
Filed under: Caerostris extrusa
Lineage: Eukaryota; Metazoa; Arthropoda; Arachnida; Araneae; Araneidae
Source: RNAcentral